Molecule: long non-coding RNA, 664 nt
Organism: Quercus robur (English oak)
Lineage: Eukaryota; Viridiplantae; Streptophyta; Magnoliopsida; Fagales; Fagaceae
Exons: 2
Source: RefSeq, a predicted model, not a curated record
CCUCUGCUUGCUUACAAUAAUUCUACUAAAAAUCUAUCAUAAUGUUCAAAAAUCAAAAUGCUUCACUUUCGAACAUUAAAUGCACUCAUUCUUGAUUUCUCUCUUCUAGCACAUACCCUAAUAUUCUGCUUUCUAGGAUGUCUAUAAGAGGACUACUUGGCAUUGAGUAAAUGCUCAACUCAGAGACAUAGAAGAAAAGGGUAGGAUGAGUGGAAUUAGUUUUGCCAAUACUGCUAUUGCCAUGCCUGGGCUAAGGCCAAAUGGGCACCAAAUGAACAAGAGCAACAACUGCCACCACUUCCAGAUGCCUCUGCACUACCCAAGAUACAGAAAGAGUGACUAUGAGACCAUGCCUGAGUGGAAACUGGACUGCCUGUUGAAUGAGUAUGGAUUGCCUGUCACUGGAGAUGUCACCCAGAAGAGGAACUUUGCCAUGGGAGCCUUUCUUUGGCCUUCCCAAGAAUGAUUUGAAGUCUAUAGCAAUAUAUUACACUAUGUUCAGGGAAAUUAAUUAUUAGUUUUCACUAAGUACUAUCAUAGAUGAUAAGCUUGGAUUAGCUAUGGGAUUGAUUUAGAUUAUGUAAUCUUUAAUACUGUAAUGUUCAUCUUUUGUCUAUGUAAUGUUUCUAUGCAAAUAUAAUGAAGAUAGAUAUUCAACUUAAAA